RNAcentral lists this ribosomal RNA (759 nucleotides) under uncultured bacterium. RNAcentral's name for it is "bacterial SSU rRNA". It matches the Rfam family "Bacterial small subunit ribosomal RNA", at positions 59 to 829 of the family's 1533-position model. The record is from RNAcentral.
CAGUCGAACGAGAGAAGAUCGGUGCUUGCACUGAUCCGAUCGAGUGGCGGACGGGUGAGUAACGCGUGGGUAACCUGCCUCAUACAGGGGAAUAACAGUUGGAAACGGCUGCUAAAACCGCAUAAGCGCACAGUAUCGCAUGAUACAGUGUGAAAAACUCCGGUGGUAUGAGAUGGACCCGCGUCUGAUUAGCUAGUUGGUGAGGUAACGGCCCACCAAGGCAACGAUCAGUAGCCGGCCUGAGAGGGUGAACGGCCACAUUGGGACUGAGACACGGCCCAAACUCCUACGGGAGGCAGCAGUGGGGAAUAUUGCACAAUGGGGGAAACCCUGAUGCAGCGACGCCGCGUGAGUGAUGAAGUAUUUCGGUAUGUAAAGCUCUAUCAGCAGGGAAGAUAAUGACGGUACCUGACUAAGAAGCACCGGCUAAAUACGUGCCAGCAGCCGCGGUAAUACGUAUGGUGCAAGCGUUAUCCGGAUUUACUGGGUGUAAAGGGUGCGUAGGUGGUGAGACAAGUCUGAAGUGAAAAUCCGGGGCUUAACCCCGGAACUGCUUUGGAAACUGCCUGACUAGAGUACAGGAGAGGUAAGUGGAAUUCCUAGUGUAGCGGUGAAAUGCGUAGAUAUUAGGAGGAACACCAGUGGCGAAGGCGACUUACUGGACUGCUACUGACACUGAGGCACGAAAGCGUGGGGAGCAAACAGGAUUAGAUACCCUGGUAGUCCACGCCGUANACGAUGAAUACUAGGUGUCGGGGC